UCUUCCGUAACUCGAGGGCCUGGUACUCUUAGAAGGUCCCUGAGGUUUGCUGUCACAGUUGGCUGUUUGGCAGGGAUCUGACCUGUCAUUUGGAAGAACAAGGUUCUUAAAUUCCAGAGGUCAUCUGGGAAUAGUGUCCAAGCAUUCCCAGUUUCCUUCCCUAGAGAUCAAACUCAGGGCCUUGUGCACUCGAGGCAAGUAAGUAUCCAUUCUGUCGUUGAGCUACAUCUCCAGCCCUAACUUCCCACCUUCACCACAGAAGAAACCUAGGAGCGGUGGGAGUAGGAGAAUCACAAACUGAGUGAUGUAGAAAGCAGAUGGGAAAGAGGAUGGAUGAUGAACCAAAGACCUGUGACCAGAGAAAUGCUCAGACAGACAUAGCAAGGCCUGCCCUGUGGUCACUAGAAGCAGACACACACCAGGAAGGUUAAGAAGGCUUGACCUGACGAAAGAACAGCACCAUCAGCAAGGGACCAAGCCUUCAGUACACCAGGCCUCAGGGGACAUGCAGCAGCGAUAAAGCCAUUACGACUUAUUCAAAAAACUCAUUGACUAUAUACACAAUGUAAGAAUGAACGCAAAUCAUCACUGACAAGGAACCAGAACCUUACCCUCACCUAACAACUGUGCCACCCUCCAAGCAGAGCCAUUGUUCAUUGAAACAGUUGAUGAACGACUUCAUGGAUAGACCAUCGUAAUGC
Molecule: long non-coding RNA, 701 nt
Organism: Mus musculus (house mouse)
Lineage: Eukaryota; Metazoa; Chordata; Mammalia; Rodentia; Muridae
Product: predicted gene, 32542
Exons: 4
Source: RefSeq, a predicted model, not a curated record